Camelina sativa (false flax) is the source of this 149-nucleotide non-coding RNA. The record is from RefSeq and is a predicted model, not a curated record. Lineage: Eukaryota; Viridiplantae; Streptophyta; Magnoliopsida; Brassicales; Brassicaceae.
CUCGUUGCUAAACUGUUUGCAUUUAAGCCGUUGCUAAAUUGUCAUUGAUUGAUCAGGUUGCUCUGAUGCUUUCUGGAAUGGGGUCAGGAGCAGUUGAUGUUUUCAGAAUGGCGAGAUCUCGAUGGGAAAAGAGGCAAGCAAAAGUUUUG